UCAACUUAUAGGAAAGGCAUGAUAAAGAGAUUAUCUCAUGUUUGAAUACCCUUUUCUUUAAUUUUUGGAUUAGCUCUCUUCCCCCACCAACUCGCAAUCUUUCUGUUCUAACCACAGGCACUUUUGGCAGCCAUGAAUUCUUAUUCUGGGCAACAGGAGUGGCUCCACAGAUGAUGAGUCUAUGGCCUGUUAUACAUGGAGCUCUUGCAAGCAAGUCCUGGUGACCACAAGGUGUCUUUGUCCAUUAUUGAGCAUCAUAAAUAUCCAGACGCACAGAUGCUUCCUGAUAUGUCCAUGAGUUUAAAGAUUGGACAUUACUUCGCCCAGCAAUCCUCGUUUUCAAACUUGCCAAGUAAGGUUUUAUCAUCUCCCACCAACAGACACAAGGUCAUGCUUAGGCCUUGGUGGCAUAGAGGGAGGGUCUCUGAAAGUCACUCAAAUAUACACUCUGAGUAGUUUCAAGGUGUAUUCACUUUUCUCUGUCCCUUGUAGGCCAGUCCUUGGAGAGACUAGGAAAUCCAGAGUUUCCUACAAGAAUGGGGAUUCCUUGGAAGAGAGUUUCACCUUGAAUCAAGAAAGAGGAAUCACAUACUUUCAAAGGAAAUUUCUCAUGAUCUCAAGAUCUCAAGAACCAGGGGCAGAAGGAAAAGCUGGGCUGACACAAUGGUGGUGGUCCUGUCUCCAUUCAAAAAGCUACCACUGCCUCUAGACCCUCUCAGGAUGGCAACAUUUCCUGAUUCCAAUCCUAAAAUAGGCAAAGUUGGGAGGGUGCAAACUUCUCCAUUCUGUGUCAGACAUGUCUUAGGGAAAACCCAAAUAUGAAUGACCAAAGAAAAGUAUGAGAAAAAAUUGAAAAUCUAUUCUAGGCUAUUCACAGUGUUUUGCUGGUAUCCUGGGAUCCACAUGCAUUUCAAGAAGACUGAAGUGUGCCAGGCCUGCAGGACAAUGAAGAGUGAAUGUCUUAGUCCUAGACUAUGGCCUGUCCAUUCAGGUUCAUGAUACAGAAUUGUCUUUAAAAGAUGACUUGCCAGAGUCAGACAUCAAUGAAGAGUACUACAUGCAGAAUAUAGGCGAGCAAUUAUGGACUCUGAUGGAACAUGGUCAGUUGGCCUGCUGGAGAGAGUCACAUAUACCAGUGACAUGCUGCUCAAACUGGCGCAGACCACAUGCUACUACCAAAGGAAUACGCACAUUUGCUCCUUCUGAGUGAAAGGAGAAUGUGAGGGAGAAGAGGAGGGUCCAUACAGACAUGAGAAGCCUACAGAUCCAGAUGAUCACCUUGCUGAUAAGAAUAUUAAAGACUGAAUCCAAUAUUAUGGAAUCAAUGACCCCGGAGCAGAUAAGCCUCUAAAGCAGGCUUCACCAUACCUUGUCUGGAUCCACCAGAGGACAAGGUUAUCACCACACUCUAUGUUGGUGAUCUCGGUGAUGCCAUUACUGAGACAGAUCUAAAUAAUCAUUUCUAAUUAUUUGACGAUCUGAAUGAUCACUGUUGUGCAGACAGUAGAGUGCUUUCCAUCCAGGUUUCCACAGGGCAGGCUGCAGAAGUGGCUGCUGAGAAAUCCUUUAAUAAGUUGAUUGUCAAGGGCUGCAGACUCGGUAGAAAACGGAGAGGAUCCCAAGCAGCCAGAGGAAAAGAAAAAGGACAGAACCGCAGGCUGGGAUCCAGCUAACGCCUAUUCCAGCACUGCCAGGAACAGGAACUCUUCCUCCUCCUGCAGCAGCAGCAGAUGUAUCUGCCAACCACAGCAACAUACCCCCACGUGCUCCUCCAGCUGUGGUGAGCAUUGCCUGGCCACCAGCCCCUGGCGUGUCCUGCUGCUCCCCCCAGGAUUUCAGCCACCCAUGUUCCAUCCAAUGGGACCAUUGCCUUCCUUUUGAGAGGACUCUAGGAUCAAUCCAUUGUGUUGGAUCCUGUGUUGGACUCCAGGAUCAAUCCAUCUGAGGACCCCCAGAGGAUGGGAGCUUGUUCUGGAAAUCACAGCAGCCCCUGUCAUAUUUUCACCACCCUGUGGUUCUAUGGAAGAAGCAUCACUUUAAAAUCUCAAUUAAUGAACAUUGGAGGAAAUAUUUUUUUCUUUCUUUGUGGUUCCCAGUGCACCUGAAUGUGGUCACAUAUGGGCAUGCUUUUUCAUAUGGAUUCAAAGGAUCAAUGGAGCUCAAAUAAGCUGUCAUUAAAACAUCUGUUUACUAUGACUGUAACAUGACUAAUAAAACCUACUGCCUGUUCCUCUCACCUCUAUGGGGGAUGAGUGGCUGAGUGAGUUAUAGAAUGUCCAAUGGAGUUAGCAGUCCAAUCAUAUAAUCAUUUUGUCUCUUUUUAUGACUGUGGAAAUAGACCUGAGGGGAAAAAAAAACCUUUUGAACAUGUUUG
Molecule: long non-coding RNA, 2374 nt
Organism: Pan paniscus (pygmy chimpanzee)
Lineage: Eukaryota; Metazoa; Chordata; Mammalia; Primates; Hominidae
Source: Ensembl